Molecule: transfer RNA, 71 nt
Filed under: Cordylochernes scorpioides
Lineage: Eukaryota; Metazoa; Arthropoda; Arachnida; Pseudoscorpiones; Chernetidae
Description: tRNA-Asp
Rfam family: tRNA
About the family: Transfer RNA (tRNA) molecules are approximately 80 nucleotides in length. Their secondary structure includes four short double-helical elements and three loops (D, anti-codon, and T loops).
Source: RNAcentral
CCAUCGGUGGUUAAGUGGUAGAAUGCUUGCUUGUCACACGGGCGUCCCGGGUUCGAUUCCCGGCCGAUGCU